Molecule: long non-coding RNA, 529 nt
Organism: Rhipicephalus microplus (southern cattle tick)
Lineage: Eukaryota; Metazoa; Arthropoda; Arachnida; Ixodida; Ixodidae
Source: RefSeq, a predicted model, not a curated record
AUGCGGUGCUGGGAACUUCCUGAAAAGUGAGAGUUCUACUGGCAUAUUCGAGAGGACAUUCAUCUUAUUGUCUGGAUCAAUGGAUGGCGAUCUGGUGACGCUGCUAUCUGGGGAAGGUGCGGAUCAGCAUUCCAUGUCGAGCGAUAACGUGUCCACACCUACAGUGCUUUGAUGCCUCGCUGUAUUUGCAAAUGAAUGAGAAGAAGCCAACAUGGAUAUGUCCAGUGUGUGACCGGCCAGCCACCUUCUCGUCGUUGGUGAUUGAUGGGUCACCACCUCUAAGGAAACGUGAAGACGUUGGGGCGCCAAUUGAUGACAUGUAAUGGGCACGACCCUACUGAAUAUGACAUUCCCCAGGGGCGUGUCAUGUACUGUUUUGUUAUAUCACAGCUUCUUUAUCUUUAGGUUGUCGAUACAUAUUUCUUCAAUAUUCAAUUCCAGCUUACACGUAACUUAAACAUUUAUGUAUGCAACAUCUAGUCACUGUGCGCAAUGUACGUGUUUUUUGUGCUAUGUGCCUAAAUAAAAA